RNAcentral lists this ribosomal RNA (378 nucleotides) under uncultured crenarchaeote. RNAcentral describes it as "bacterial SSU rRNA". It matches the Rfam family "Archaeal small subunit ribosomal RNA", at positions 64 to 452 of the family's 1478-position model. The record is from RNAcentral. Lineage: Archaea; Thermoproteati; Thermoproteota.
GUAGCAAUACAAGGCAUACGGCUCAGUAACGCGUAGUCAACCUAACCUAUGGACGGGAAUAACCUCGGGAAACUGAGAAUAAUGCCCGAUAGAACAUUAUGCCUGGAAUGGUCUAUGUUCCAAAUGAUUUAUCGCCGUAGGAUGGGACUGCGGCCUAUCAGUUUGUUGGUGAGGUAAUGGCCCACCAAGACUAUUACAGGUACGGGCUCUGAGAGGAGUAGCCCGGAGAUGGGUACUGAGACACGGACCCAGGCCCUAUGGGGCGCAGCAGGCGAGAAAACUUUGCAAUGUGCGAAAGCACGACAAGGUUAAUCCGAGUGGUUUCUGCUAAAGAAACUUUGUAGUUCUAGAACACUGAUGAAUAGGGGUGGGCAAGUU